GAUGAACGCUGGCGGCGUGCCUAACACAUGCAAGUCGAACGGAGAUUACGGACGGAAGUUUUCGGAUGGAAGACUGUAGUUCUUAGUGGCGGACGGGUGAGUAACGCGUGGGCAACCUGCCCUAUACAGGGGGAUAGCAGCUGGAAACGGCUGGUAAGACCGCAUAAGUCGGUUAAAUCGCAUGAUUUGAUCGGGAAAUGAGCAAUCAGGUAUAGGAUGGGCCCGCGUCCGAUUAGCCAGUUGGCAGGGUAAAAGCCUACCAAAGCGACGAUCGGUAGCCGGACUGAGAGGUCGGACGGCCACAUUGGGACUGAGACACGGCCCAAACUCCUACGGGAGGCAGCAGUGGGGGAUAUUGCACAAUGGAGGAAACUCUGAUGCAGCGACGCCGCGUGAGUGAAGAAGUAUUUCGGUAUGUAAAGCUCUAUCAGCAGGGAAGAUGAUGACGGUACCUGACUAAGAAGCCCCGGCUAACUACGUG
RNAcentral lists this ribosomal RNA (481 nucleotides) under uncultured bacterium. Its description in RNAcentral is "partial 16S ribosomal RNA". It matches the Rfam family "Bacterial small subunit ribosomal RNA", at positions 28 to 507 of the family's 1533-position model. The record is from RNAcentral.